RNAcentral lists this ribosomal RNA (912 nucleotides) under uncultured archaeon. RNAcentral's name for it is "bacterial SSU rRNA". It matches the Rfam family "Archaeal small subunit ribosomal RNA", at positions 1 to 920 of the family's 1478-position model. The record is from RNAcentral.
UUCCGGUUGAUCCUGCCGGAGGUCACUGCUAUUGGGGUUCGGCUAAGCCAUGCGAGCGGAGGGCGCGGUCGAGAGAUCGUGGCCCCGCACACGGCUCAGUAACACGUAGUCAACCUACCCUUGGGACGGGGACAACCUCGGGAAACUGAGGCUAAUUCCCGAUAGGCGAGGGACGCUGGGAUGCCUCCUCGCCCAAAGCUCCGGCGCCCGAGGAUGGGACUGCGGCCUAUCAGGCUGUUGGUGGUGUGACGGACCACCAAACCUACGACGGGUACGGGCGAUGGGAGUCGGAGCCCGGAGAUGGGGACUGAGACAAGGCCCCAGGCCCUACGGGGCGCAGCAGGCGCGAAAACUCCGCAAUGCGCGCAAGCGUGACGGGGGGAUCCCAAGUGCCGUUGGUCUUUUGAUCGACGGCUUUUCAGAAGUCCAAGAAGCUUCCGGAAUAAGGGCUGGGUAAGACUGGUGCCAGCCGCCGCGGUAACACCAGCAGCCCAAGUGGUGACCACGAUUAUUGGGCCUAAAGCGCUCGUAGCCGGGUCAGCAAGUCCCUUGUGAAAUCGGGCCGCCUAACGGUUCGGCGUGCAAGGGGUACUGUUGGUCUUGAGGCCGGGAGAGGUCGGAGGUACUCCUGGGGUAGCGGUGAAAUGCUCUAAUCCUGGGGGGACCACCAGUGGCGAAGGCGUCCGACCAGAACGGACCUGACGGUGAGGGGCGAAGGCUAGGGGAGCGAACGGGAUUAGAUACCCCGGUAGUCCUAGCUGUAAAGCAUGCGGGCCAGGUGUCUAGUGCUCCUCGAGGGCACUAGGUGCCGGAGGGAAGCCGUUAAGCCCGCGCCUGGAAGUACGGCGCAAGGCUGAAACUUAAGAAUGCGGGGAGCACACAAGGGUGGGACUGCGUCAUGGACUCACGCCG